Molecule: ribosomal RNA, 440 nt
Filed under: uncultured bacterium
Lineage: Bacteria
Description: partial 16S ribosomal RNA
Rfam family: Bacterial small subunit ribosomal RNA
Source: RNAcentral
CCUACGGGAGACAGCAGUGGGUAAUAUUGCACAAUGGGGGAAACCCUGAUGCAGCGACGCCGCGUGAGUGAAGAAGUAAUUCGUUAUGUAAAGCUCUAUCAUCAGGGAAGAAAAUGACGGUACCUGAGUAAUAAGCCCCGGCUAACUACGUGCCAGCAGCCGCGGUAAUACGUAGGGGGCAAGCGUUAUCCGGAUUUACUGGGUGUAAAGGGUGCGUAGACGGAAGUGCAAGUCUGGAGUGAAAGGCGGGGGCUCAACCCACGGACUGCUCUGGAAACUGUACGGCUGGAGUGCAGGAGAGGUAAGUGGAAUUCCUAGUGUAGCGGUGAAAUGCGUAGAUAUUAGGAGGAACACCAGUGGCGAAGGCGGCUUACUGGACUGUAACUGACGUUGAGGCUCGAAAGCGUGGGGAGCAAACAGGAUUAGAUACCCUAGUAGUC